AAUAUUGGUCAAUGGAGGCAACUCUGAACCAGCCAUGCCGCGUGCAGGAUGACGGUCCUAUGGAUUGUAAACUGCUUUUGUACAGGAAGAAAAAGAGUUACGUGUAGCUUAUUGCCGGUACUGUAAGAAUAAGGACCGGCUAACUCCGUGCCAGCAGCCGCGGUAAUACGGAGGAUCCAAGCGUUAUCCGGAAUCAUUGGGUUUAAAGGGUCCGUAGGCGGCCUUAUAAGUCAGCGGUGAAAGUUUUUGGCUUAACCAAAAAAUUGCCGUUGAUACUGUAGGGCUUGAAUUUUUGUGAAGUAACUAGAAUAUGUAGUGUAGCGGUGAAAUGCUUAGAUAUUACAUGGAAUACCAGUGGCGAAGGCGACUUUCUGGACUUAUACUGACGCUGAGGCACGAAAGCGUGGGGAGCAAACA
This 417-nucleotide ribosomal RNA is filed under the name uncultured bacterium. Its description in RNAcentral is "partial 16S ribosomal RNA". It matches the Rfam family "Bacterial small subunit ribosomal RNA", at positions 360 to 774 of the family's 1533-position model. The record is from RNAcentral.